CAUUUCAGUGAUCAAAUUUUAAGGUAUUUGAGGCUAGAUCCCACUAAUAACCCUUCAUAAAUAAUUAAUUAUUGUGGCAGGUCCCCACAAAGUAAUUUUGGUUUUGUACCCUGUAUACAUAAAUUCAAUCCCUCAAAAUUUUUUUAAUUGCACAGAACAAAAGACUGAUGGAACAAGAGAGCUUCAGGGGCAGGGGGCAGAUGACUUUGCUUCAUGGAGUGAAAUUAGACUGCCACUUAAGAUACAAACCAAGCUCUGAAUAAACAGCUCAAUUGGAUGAAACAGUUCACCUGAAAUGAAGGAAAAAGCUCUCCCUCAAUCUGAGCAAAAGAACACUUUUAAAAGGCAUUAAUAAAAAAGGGUAUAAUAAAACUAAAAGGUAUGGC
This 386-nucleotide long non-coding RNA is filed under the name Parus major (Great Tit). RNAcentral describes it as "lncRNA (ENSPMJG00000011493.1)". Lineage: Eukaryota; Metazoa; Chordata; Aves; Passeriformes; Paridae. The record is from RNAcentral.